UCUGUAGUCAAAAGGUGGAAAGAUUUAUAAGGAACAAGUGAGUAAAAUACGUAAUGUAAUACAUAAACUACUCUUCUUUAUACACUGAAUAUUUUAGUGAUGACAUGUAGUUCUAUGAGGCCAGCAAGACUCUCCUGGCCCCAUUUUUGGAGUUUGGGGGCAUAUUUGUAACGUUAGCUUAGUGGGGUGAAUCACAGCUUAGUGGGUUGAAUCACAGGACCAUGACUGAGGAAAUCAAAGUGACAUUUUUAUUGUACACUUUUUGUGCAUGCAUUUUUCCAUUUUUAAUUUCUCCAUCUACAAAAUUGACAAAAUGUUUAUAAAAUUUAUCGUAACUGCAUUGUUUUUAUAGCAAAUGCCAUAGAGAGUAAUAUUUGUUAGUUUUCUUGAUCAAAGGCACAAAUAAAAAAAAAAAGCCGAAUUAAAGAAAAUCUUCUUUUUUUUUUUUUCCUUCAGGCAUUUCUCAGCUUACAAAUCUGGAUCCUCACAAAAAAAUCCCGGACUGUUGUUACGACUGUGGUAAUGGAUUCUAUAAUCCUGAAACCUAAGUUACUGUUGAGUACAAACUCAGGUAUCAUUAACUUCUUCUACAAGAUGAUGAUGAGCAUGAAUGGAUCAUUCGGACCUGCUGGAAAGCUUGGGAUGAAACAAUUGAACAUAAACCAAAAGCGUGAAAAGUUUUUACUAGAUGAUAAUAUUUCAAAGCAAGUAAUCUGAUUCACAAUAAAUCUAAUUUGUCCUCGUGGAUUUGUCUCACCCUUUCCCUCUACAGGAAUAUAAUCUUUUUGUCAUCUCUGUCAGCACAAACAAAAAUGGAAAUAAUCAUUUAAUCAGUCAUGCUGAGAAAAAGCCAUGGAAAAAAAGCUGACUGUACUCACAAUAAUAUUCCUGAGAGGUGUGUAGUGUAGUAUAUAUAAAUGUUAUUAAGCCUGAAAACAAUUUGUUAAAAAGAGUGCCUCAGAUUCAGUGUUGAAGUCAUUCAAAUCCAUCUUAAUCAACAUUAUUUUCCCAGAUUUUAGUUAGCUGUCCUGGUGAAUUCCUUUCCUCUCUUUUUGCUCAGUACUUUGAUAUUGAUUGAUCAUUGUAAUAAUGUACACCAGAGGUAUUCUUUAAUGACUGGUUUGCUAACUAGGAAAUUAUAUCCAUUUACUACGAACAUUUGUUGAACUCUCCUGAAGCCAGAGUUUAACAAAAUAAUAAAAGAGGAAAACUGGGUGGGUUGCUGCUUGAUUAGUAAGCCAGAAAGUAUUUAAAAAUAAAAUAAAAUGGAAUUACAUCAUUUUCUGGAUGUAAGUGCCAGCACUUCUACUUGCAUUAACUUUAUUUAUUACACAAAUAAGACAUUUACAAAGCACAACAUUAAAAGUAUGUAACAAAACAGACAUUGGUUUUACAAAAAAGUGCUUACAAUUUAGUUUUACUUUUUUAAAAUAAAUAUUAGUCUUGACUGUCCACUCAUUCAGAGAAUUUUUUUUUAACCAUUGUAGCCAAGACAUGCAGAAUUGCAACAUGCUACAACAAAAUGAUUGGUGGAUGAAAUAAAAAUCAUGUGUCUAUAGUUGGCAUCCUACAGAUAUAUCACUGAUAGUAGUGCAGGAUUGGUUCCCACUCCCCUGUCCCAACUAGUAAGUUGUGUAAGCACCUUUAGCUCGGACAUUGGGGUUCACCAGCAUGAGCCAAAAAAAAAGAAAAAAAAAGAAUUGGUAAUAAAACUGUAAACCAUUCCACUUUCAGACCCUAGCCAUAUUUAGUUACUUUAAUAAACUUGAGUGAAAAGCAUUUCACUAUCUUUGUUGGGUUUUGUCUGCAAAAGGUUUUGUAAAAAGCAACUGGAAAAGUUUAAUACAUGGAGUCUGCAUUGCUGCACCAGAACCCAUUUGACAAUUACUGAAUAAACUAAGAAAAUCAGAAUUAUUUUUAUUUUAUUUUUUUUCAAUCUACAGACAGGAGAUGAAUGCAAAUGACCUGAGAUAAGGUUUGGUUCAGUGGCAACAGUCAGUGUGAAAUAUGUUGUGAAACAAUGUAUUGAAUAAAUUAGAGGAUUUCUUACAUUCUUGGUACAGUUGAGUAUUUUCCAUACACAUAAUUAGCUCUAAAACUGCACAAGCUGAAUUGCUUCCAGUUUUUGCAAACAAUUUGGGCUUAAUAUAAACAGAGCGUGAUUUCUGAAUUAGCAAAGCCGCUCCUGGCUACUUAUGGGGGAGAAUGCCCUGGAGCACGGUCUGUGCGGGGCACUUUGCCCCACAGGUAGUGGUGAGUCCACUGCAGAGAAGCACCUACACUCCCUCGGCCUCUGCUUUGCACUUGGUCCUGCCAGCGGUGUCAGGUACAAAAACUUUGAUAUCCAGUACAUUUCACAAGUGGGGUGGUUUUGAUCAGUAACUAAGUUGAUAUUUAGCAGAUACAUAUUUAAGAGUUUCCCUUUCAUUGCACUGCCGAGACAGAAGAGAAAUGCAUCAAACCAUUUUCUCCCUCAACAAAACAGUUGUGGAAAUCUCAAGUACUGUGAGAUGUCAGGUUAAGUUACAGCCUGAAGUCUCUCCUUCAGUCUUAAACGAAAUAACUACCCAUUUGUUUAUGGCACUAAUUCCACAACUAAAUGAUCGUUAGGAUGCGCGAGCACAAACGGAGAAGUCGGGCUCCGGUGACCCUGCUGACCAGCACCAGCAUCUAAAGGCUGUCGCACGCAGACACAGCGAUCCACCUCAACCUUGCGAUUACCAGCACUCCACCAACGGCCAACAAAGGGAACGCCCGUCCUUCACUCAUUGCUAUGGAAAGGACAAAAGUGACUGCAAGGGGUGCAACCCAAGGGGACACCUCUGCAGCGGUGGUUCCAGUCAGGUCAGGCACGCAGCAGUGCCUUGUCACUGGCUACACACUGGAAAUGGUUAUUUGCACGCCAGGAGGCAACAAUAAUACUUUGCAGACUUAGUUUCCUCUCUCCUUUCAAAUGUUAUUUUAAAUUGGGGAUAGAGCUGCUAGCUGCUGGCUGCCAUUAGACAGAACACUGGCCUAACUGUCCAAGGAAUUACCAUCACACUCUCUCUCUGAAUAUUUUUUUUUCAUGUAUAUAUAUACACACACACACACACAGAGGUAUGUGUGUGUGUACAUAUUU
This is a long non-coding RNA of Falco tinnunculus (common kestrel), 3121 nucleotides long. The record is from Ensembl. NCBI's taxonomy places the organism in Eukaryota, Metazoa, Chordata, Aves, Falconiformes, Falconidae.